This 374-nucleotide ribosomal RNA is filed under the name uncultured bacterium. Its description in RNAcentral is "bacterial SSU rRNA". It matches the Rfam family "Bacterial small subunit ribosomal RNA", at positions 523 to 898 of the family's 1533-position model. The record is from RNAcentral.
AUACGUAGGUGGCAAGCGUUGUCCGGAUUUACUGGGCGUAAAGGAUGCGUAGGCGGAUAUUUAAGUGAGAUGUGAAAUCCCUAAGCUUAACUUAGGUGUUGCAUUUCAAACUGGAUGUCUAGAGUGCAGGAGAGGAGAAUGGAAUUCCUAGUGUAGCGGUGAAAUGCGUAGAGAUUAGGAAGAACACCAGUGGCGAAGGCGAUUCUCUGGACUGUAACUGACGCUGAGGCAUGAAAGCGUGGGUAGCAAACAGGAUUAGAUACCCUGGUAGUCCACGCCGUAAACGAUGAGUACUAGGUGUAGGAGGUCCAACCUUCUGUGCCGCAGUUAACACAAUAAGUACUCCGCCUGGGAAGUACGAUCGCAAGAUUAAA